RNAcentral lists this ribosomal RNA (488 nucleotides) under uncultured bacterium. RNAcentral's name for it is "partial 16S ribosomal RNA". It matches the Rfam family "Bacterial small subunit ribosomal RNA", at positions 28 to 523 of the family's 1533-position model. The record is from RNAcentral.
GAUGAACGCUGGCGGCGUGCUUAACACAUGCAAGUCGAACGAAGCAAUUUUGAAACUUCGGUUUCAAAAUUGACUUAGUGGCGGACGGGUGAGUAACGCGUAGGUAACCUGCCUUAUACAGGGGGAUAACAGCUGGAAACGGCUGCUAAUACCGCAUAACACAGUGAAGUCGCAUGACUUUAUUGCCAAAGAUUUAUCGGUAUAAGAUGGACCUGCGUCUGAUUAGCUAGUUGGUGAGGUAAUGGCUCACCAAGGCGACGAUCAGUAGCCGACUUGAGGGAGGGAUCGGCCACAUUGGGACUGAGACACGGCCCAAACUCCUACGGGAGGCAGCAGUGGGGAAUAUUGCACAAUGGGGGAAACCCUGAUGCAGCGACGCCGCGUGAGUGAUGAAGUAUUUCGGUAUGUAAAGCUCUAUCAGCAGGGACGAAAAAAGACGGUACCUGACUAAGAAGCCCCGGCUAACUACGUGCCAGCCGCCGCCGUAA